GAGACUAACUAUGGAGCCAGCUUUAUUGAGUUCUAUUCUGAGGAAGCAAAACGGAUAUAUGGUGACAUAAUUUCACCAACUAUGGCCGAUCGUCGAAUUUUGGUCUUGAAGCAGCCAGUUGGAGUUGUUGGUGUUGUUACCCCUUGGAACUUUCCGUUGGCUAUGAUUACGCGGAAGGUUGGACCUGCUCUUGCAUGUGGUUGUACGGUGGUCAUAAAACCCUCUGAGCUUAC
RNAcentral lists this unclassified non-coding RNA (233 nucleotides) under Hevea brasiliensis (rubber tree). The record is from RNAcentral. Lineage: Eukaryota; Viridiplantae; Streptophyta; Magnoliopsida; Malpighiales; Euphorbiaceae.